Molecule: small nuclear RNA, 167 nt
Organism: Peromyscus eremicus (cactus mouse)
Lineage: Eukaryota; Metazoa; Chordata; Mammalia; Rodentia; Cricetidae
Product: U12 minor spliceosomal RNA
Exons: 1
Source: RefSeq, a predicted model, not a curated record
AUACCUUAAACUUCUGAGUAAGGAAAACAGCUACUCAGGGUGAUACUUGAGUCCUUACUGUGCGAUUAAUUUUUGAGUGGGUAAAGUUUGCACUUAAGGUGACCCCCCUACAAAUAAAUAUAAAAAAAAGGGCUAAGGGUAUGGCUCAGUGGUAGAGCACCUGCCUG